GCAUCCAUGGUGUAGUGGUUAGCAUUAACGCCUUCCAUGUGAAACAAGCGUUAGAGUCGGGUUCGAUUCCCGAUGGAUGCA
This 81-nucleotide transfer RNA is filed under the name Fusarium irregulare. Its description in RNAcentral is "tRNA-Gly". It matches the Rfam family "tRNA". From Rfam's summary of the family: Transfer RNA (tRNA) molecules are approximately 80 nucleotides in length. Lineage: Eukaryota; Fungi; Ascomycota; Sordariomycetes; Hypocreales; Nectriaceae. The record is from RNAcentral.